This 216-nucleotide ribosomal RNA is filed under the name Glomeromycotina sp. Its description in RNAcentral is "partial small subunit ribosomal RNA". The stretch from base 75 to 216 matches the Rfam family "Eukaryotic small subunit ribosomal RNA", at positions 721 to 864 of the family's 1831-position model. Lineage: Eukaryota; Fungi; Glomeromycota. The record is from RNAcentral.
GGGUCAGUAGGUUGGUCGUGCCACCGGUACGUACUGGUCUCACUGAUUCCUCCUUCCCGAAGAACCGUAAUGCCAUUAAUUUGGUGUUGCGGGGAAACAGGACUGUUACUUUGAAAAAAUUAGAGUGUUUAAAGCAAGCUAACGCUUGAAUACAUUAGCAUGGAAUAAUGAAAUAGGACGAUCGACCCUAUUUUGUUGGUUUCUAGGAUUGACGUA